UACGUAGGGUGCAAGCGUUGUCCGGAAUUAUUGGGCGUAAAGAGCUCGUAGGCGGUCUGUUGCGUCGGCUGUGAAAACCCGGGGCUCAACUCCGGGCCUGCAGCCGAUACGGGCAGACUAGAGUUCGGCAGGGGAGACUGGAAUUCCUGGUGUAGCGGUGAAAUGCGCAGAUAUCAGGAGGAACACCGGUGGCGAAGGCGGGUCUCUGGGCAUUAACUGACGCUGAGGAGCGAAAGCAUGGGGAGCGAACAGG
RNAcentral lists this ribosomal RNA (253 nucleotides) under uncultured bacterium. RNAcentral describes it as "partial 16S ribosomal RNA". It matches the Rfam family "Bacterial small subunit ribosomal RNA", at positions 524 to 776 of the family's 1533-position model. The record is from RNAcentral.